CCUUCGGGUGGCAGCAGUGAGGAAUAUUGGUCAAUGGACGCGAGCCUGAACCAGCCAAGUAGCGUGAAGGAUGACUGCCCUACGGGUUGUAAACUUCUUUUAUAUGGGAAUAAAAUGUUCCACGUGUGGGUUUUUGUAUGUACUAUAUGAAUAAGGAUCGGCUAACUCCGUUCCAGCAGCCGCGGUAAUACGGAGGAUCCGAGCGUUAUCCGGAUUUAUUGGGUUUAAAGGGAGCGUAGGUGGUUUGUUAAGUCAGUUGUGAAAGUUUGCGGCUCAACCGUAAAAUUGCAGUUGAAACUGGCAGUCUUGAGUACAGUAGAGGUGGGCGGAAUUCGUGGUGUAGCGGUGAAAUGCUUAGAUAUCACGAAGAACUCCGAUUGCGAAGGCAGUUCACUGGACUGCAACUGACAUUGAGGCUCGAAAGUGUGGGUAUCAAACAGGAUUAGAUACCCGGGUAGUC
This 460-nucleotide ribosomal RNA is filed under the name uncultured bacterium. Its description in RNAcentral is "partial 16S ribosomal RNA". It matches the Rfam family "Bacterial small subunit ribosomal RNA", at positions 338 to 795 of the family's 1533-position model. The record is from RNAcentral.